CUUUAUUUGUAUCAAGAUGGUCCUACUAUCAAAGUCUGUGUAUUAUUCCGUGAAAUCAAUGAACAAAACCAUAUUUUUAGGUGAGUACCUUCCUCUAAAAUGACCAAGCCAACGUAGGAAUGCAUUCCCUCACAUUUCUAUUAGAAGCUCCACCAAAACACCCAAAUUAGAACCCUAGGUUUUGCUUGUGAUAAAAAUUGGGUAAGUUAUUAUUUGGGUUGCAAAAGUUGUUCUUUUCCAUUUGUAAUUGCUUGGUGAGGUCUGAAAUUGGAUAAGAUUUGAUUUUUUAGAAUAGCAAAAGAGGUAUGCAUUUUUUCGGGGGUGGAUAAUGAAACUUGUCCAAGAGGAAAACAAAUGGUCCUUGGUUUGCUUAGAAGACUUAGAGCAAUAGAGUUGGAAGGUAGAGCAAAGGAAGAACAAUUGAGAUUUGUGGAAGCAAAAAAGAAAGAACUGCAACAGAAAUUGAAAGAAAUAGUUCAGGAAAAAACAGUUUUGGAAUGGGCUCAUG
Molecule: long non-coding RNA, 508 nt
Filed under: Prunus dulcis (almond)
Lineage: Eukaryota; Viridiplantae; Streptophyta; Magnoliopsida; Rosales; Rosaceae
Description: sRNA ncRNA
Source: RNAcentral